RNAcentral lists this ribosomal RNA (661 nucleotides) under uncultured Leucophleps. RNAcentral's name for it is "eukaryotic LSU rRNA". It matches the Rfam family "Eukaryotic large subunit ribosomal RNA", at positions 1 to 632 of the family's 3401-position model. Lineage: Eukaryota; Fungi; Basidiomycota; Agaricomycetes; Boletales; Leucogastraceae. The record is from RNAcentral.
UUGAUCUCAAAUCAGGCGGGACUACCCGCUGAACUUAAGCAUAUCAAUAAGCGGAGGAAAAGAAACUAACAAGGAUUCCCCUAGUAACUGCGAGUGAAGCGGGAAAAGCUCAAAUUUGAAAUCUGGCGGUCUUUGGCCGUCCGAGUUGUAGUCUGGAGAAGCGCUUUCCGCGCCGGACCGUGUACAAGUCCUCUGGAACGGGGCGUCAUAGAGGGUGAGAAUCCCGUCUUUGACACGGACUGCCGGUGCUCUGUGAUGUGCUCUCGAAGAGUCGAGUUGUUUGGGAAUGCAGCUCAAAAUGGGUGGUGAAUUCCAUCUAAAGCUAAAUAUUGGCGAGAGACCGAUAGCGAACAAGUACCGUGAGGGAAAGAUGAAAAGCACUUUGGAAAGAGAGUUAAACAGUACGUGAAAUUGUUGAAAGGGAAACGCUUGAAGUCAGUCACGUCGACCAGGAUUCAGCCUUGCGAUCUCGCUCGGUGUACUUUCUGGUUCGAUGGGCCAGCAUCGAUUUUGAUCAUCGGACAAAGGCGGGGGAAAUGUGGCACCCUUUUCUGGGUGUGUUAUAGUCCCUCGUUCGGUAUACGGUGGUCGGGAUCGAGGAACUUGGCAUGCCUUUGUGGUCGGGGCUUUGGCCCACGUCUCAUGCUUAGGAUGCUGCGUA